Molecule: ribosomal RNA, 544 nt
Filed under: uncultured bacterium
Lineage: Bacteria
Description: bacterial SSU rRNA
Rfam family: Bacterial small subunit ribosomal RNA
Source: RNAcentral
AAUAGAUACCCUGGUAGUCCACGCCGUAAACGAUGAGUGCUAAGUGUUAGGGGGUUUCCGCCCCUUAGUGCUGCAGCUAACGCAUUAAGCACUCCGCCUGGGGAGUACGGUCGCAAGACUGAAACUCAAAGGAAUUGACGGGGGCCCGCACAAGCGGUGGAGCAUGUGGUUUAAUUCGAAGCAACGCGAAGAACCUUACCAGGUCUUGACAUCCCAUUGACCACUAUGGAGACAUAGUUUUCCCUUCGGGGACAACGGUGACAGGUGGUGCAUGGUUGUCGUCAGCUCGUGUCGUGAGAUGUUGGGUUAAGUCCCGCAACGAGCGCAACCCUUGUUCUUAGUUGCCAUCAUUUAGUUGGGCACUCUAAGGAGACUGCCGGUGACAAACCGGAGGAAGGUGGGGAUGACGUCAAAUCAUCAUGCCCCUUAUGACCUGGGCUACACACGUGCUACAAUGGACGGUACAAACGGUUGCCAACCCGCGAGGGGGAGCUAAUCCGAUAAACCGUUCUCAGUUCGGAUUGUAGGCUGCAACUCGCCUACA